Long non-coding RNA from Fukomys damarensis (Damara mole-rat), 219 nucleotides. RefSeq lists it as uncharacterized. The record is from RefSeq and is a predicted model, not a curated record. NCBI's taxonomy places the organism in Eukaryota, Metazoa, Chordata, Mammalia, Rodentia, Bathyergidae. The transcript has 3 exons.
CUGGCAGCCUUUACCACAGAGCUGCACAUGCACCUGGCCCAGGUCUUGGAGAAGCAGGAACAGAUGGUCCAGCAGGAGAUGGAGAAGCUGAGUGCUUGGCUGUUGCCCGUGCUGACCAGAGGCUUUAGAGGACAUAUGACUUGGAAGAAUGUUUUGGAAAGAAUUAGAAGCACCAACACUGUGGCCUCAAGUCCCAGAAAGAAGACUUAAAAAAAAUAC